AACGGCAUUAUGUGCUUGCACAUUUUGGACGUCGACCGGCGCACGGGUGAGUAUCGCGUAUCCAACCUGCCCUUUACUUGGGGAUACCCCGUUGAAAGACGGCCUAAUACCCGAUGUAAUUCAUUGAUGGCAUCAGAUAUGAAUAAAAGAUUUAUCGGUAAAGGACGGGGAUGCGUCUGAUUAGCUUGUUGGUGAGGUAAAGGCUCACCAAGGCAACGAUCAGUAGGGGUUCUGAGAGGAAGGUCCCCCACAUUGGAACUGAGACACGGUCCAAACUCCUACGGGAGGCAGCAGUGAGGAAUAUUGGUCAAUGGGCGGAAGCCUGAACCAGCCAAGUAGCGUGCAGGAAGACGGCCCUAUGGGUUGUAAACUGCUUUUAUACGAGAAUAAUUUGAUGCACGUGUGCGUUAUUGCAUGUAUCGUAUGAAUAAGGACCGGCUAAUUCCGUGCCAGCAGCCGCGGUAAUACGGAAGGUCCAGGCGUUAUCCGGAUUUAUUGGGUUUAAAGGGAGUGUAGGCGGUUUGUUAAGCGUGUUGUGAAAUUUAGGUGCUCAACAUUUAACUUGCAGCGCGAACUGUCAGACUUGAGUACACGCAACGUAUGCGGAAUUCAUGGUGUAGCGGUGAAAUGCUUAGAUAUCAUGAAGAACUCCGAUUGCGAAGGCAGCAUACGGGAGUGUAACUGACGCUUAAGCUCGAAGGUGCGGGUAUCGAACAGGAUUAGAUACCCUGGUAGUCCGCACAGUAAACGAUGGAUGCCCGCUGUUAGCGCCUGGCGU
Molecule: ribosomal RNA, 778 nt
Filed under: uncultured Bacteroidota bacterium
Lineage: Bacteria; Pseudomonadati; Bacteroidota
Description: bacterial SSU rRNA
Rfam family: Bacterial small subunit ribosomal RNA
Source: RNAcentral